This 253-nucleotide ribosomal RNA is filed under the name uncultured bacterium. RNAcentral's name for it is "partial 16S ribosomal RNA". It matches the Rfam family "Bacterial small subunit ribosomal RNA", at positions 524 to 776 of the family's 1533-position model. The record is from RNAcentral.
CACGUAGGGGGCAAGCGUUGUCCGGAAUUAUUGGGCGUAAAGCGCGCGCAGGUGGUUUCUUAAGUCUGAUGUGAAAGCCCCUGGCUCAACUGGGGAGGGUCACGCGAUACUGUUCGACUCGAAGGCAGGAGAGGGAAGUGGAAUUCCCGGUGUAGUGGUGAAAUGCGUAGAUAUCGGGAGGAACACCAGUGGCGAAGGCGACUUCCUGGCCUGUUCUUGACGCUGAGGCGCGAAAGCUAGGGUAGCAAACGGG